AUUUCAGGGCAAGAGUUGUCUGUUUUUCACAGUUCUGUCCAGUUGUGCCAAGGUCGGCAUUGGUUUCCGUUGGAGAUUUCAGGGUUGGCCCCUUGUGCCCCUACUUCUGAUGGGCCCACAAAAUUUUUGUCAUGCCCAUUCGAUUCUUCGGAUAUACUAUGGUAAUCAAAAUUUUUCCCCCUACUUCCUAUCUCAUCGCGUUUCCGAGAUAAAAGGGUGGUACGAGGGCUCGAAAAUAUCCGGCAUAUUCAAUGUAAUCUGUCAAUAUGAUGAAAUAUAUCAAUGUAUUAAUUGCUUUUUAAAGAAAAUUAUGGAAAAUGAAUGAAAAAUAUAUUACACUAUAUGCUGUAUGAAUUUAAACAGGAAACAAUGCUACUUUCCUGUUACAUAGAACAUAACAGAGGUUUAUGGAAAUUAUCUUGGAAGUGAGAAAGUAUGAAAGAUAGUUUAAAAAAAUUUAGAAUGGAUCAGUUAGAUUGGGAGGAUGAUCAGCAUUUUAGAUAGCUAGUUAAGUUUGAUGAUGAUGCCCUUGUCACUUUUACCAAAAAUUCAUUCUUAUUUGUCAGCUGGGGAAUUGGUUAUGAAACUUAAUUCAGCCAGUUCUAAUGUACUCUAUCAUUUAGAGAUGCUUGGAUAAACUUGAAAAAUGGUUAUUGCAUGAAUUAACUCAAAUGUGCCAUAGCAUGUAAACAUUUGCUUAUCUUUGAUAUACUGUUAAGGAGAACAAUCAUUUUUAGAAUAAUUACAGGAAACGAAAAAUGAAUUAUUUACAACAAUAUUAAAUGGAAACACAAUACAUUGACAAAAAUAUCCUAUCAAAAUCUUGAGCCAAAGAUAGUUUGUACCUGAAAAGAUAAUACUCUGCAUUUAAUGGGAUAUGAAAGAGCCACUUAAUUUGAAGUGCUAAAUCAGAAUCAAACAAUUAUCAAGCGAUAGAUAGUGCAAUCAACAACGGGACUAUCUAUGAUCAGUUGAUAUUGAUAUAUAUAGUUAUAUAUCAAUAUCAACUGAUCAUAGAUAUAUUGAUAUUGAUAUUGAUUUAUAUAUUGUUAAUAUUGAUAUAAU
RNAcentral lists this long non-coding RNA (1065 nucleotides) under Androctonus crassicauda. Lineage: Eukaryota; Metazoa; Arthropoda; Arachnida; Scorpiones; Buthidae. The record is from RNAcentral.